Molecule: long non-coding RNA, 277 nt
Filed under: Phoenix dactylifera (date palm)
Lineage: Eukaryota; Viridiplantae; Streptophyta; Magnoliopsida; Arecales; Arecaceae
Description: long non-coding RNA (PDAC_LNC008612)
Source: RNAcentral
UGAGUGUGAGCUUUGAAUCCCGGGCGGAAGAGAGUAGUUGAGCUUGAAAUCACUUGGAAAGCUUGAAAGCACUUGAUUUCUUCACUUGAAUGCACUAACUCCCUUGAACCUCUUUUUCUUUCUUCUCUCUUGAAUGAUUUUGCUUUGGGUUGGUAAAAAGUUAUUGAGAAGCACUUAAGAGCUCCCUUUUAUAGCUCAAAAAGCAAAUAUAGCCGUUAGAGAUAAAGUAAAAGAUAUUUGAAAUUCAAACCAAACAUGUAAAAGCUGUCAGUCGCGU